RNAcentral lists this ribosomal RNA (530 nucleotides) under uncultured bacterium. RNAcentral's name for it is "partial 16S ribosomal RNA". It matches the Rfam family "Bacterial small subunit ribosomal RNA", at positions 355 to 900 of the family's 1533-position model. The record is from RNAcentral.
UGGGGAAUAUUGGACAAUGGGCGCAAGCCUGAUCCAGCCAUGCCGCGUGAGUGAUGAAGGCCUUAGGGUUGUAAAGCUCUUUUAUCCGGGACGAUAAUGACGGUACCGGAGGAAUAAGCCCCGGCUAACUUCGUGCCAGCAGCCGCGGUAAUACGAAGGGGGCUAGCGUUGCUCGGAAUCACUGGGCGUAAAGGGCGCGUAGGCGGCGUUUUAAGUCGGGGGUGAAAGCCUGUGGCUCAACCACAGAAUGGCCUUCGAUACUGGGACGCUUGAGUAUGGUAGAGGUUGGUGGAACUGCGAGUGUAGAGGUGAAAUUCGUAGAUAUUCGCAAGAACACCGGUGGCGAAGGCGGCCAACUGGACCAUUACUGACGCUGAGGGCGCGAAAAGCGUGGGGAGCAAACAGGAUUNGAUNCCCUGGUAGUCCACGCCGUAAAACGAUGAAUGCCAGCUGUUGGGGUGCUUUCACCGCAGUAGCGCAGCUAACGCUUUGAGCAUUCCGCCUGGGGAGUACGGUCGCAAGAUUAAAAA